Long non-coding RNA from Cyprinus carpio (common carp), 1206 nucleotides. NCBI's taxonomy places the organism in Eukaryota, Metazoa, Chordata, Actinopteri, Cypriniformes, Cyprinidae. The record is from Ensembl.
CUUUCUUCCAGAGAUUGUGCACCACAACUCUUAAAUGAAACAUCAAGUGACACUGUAUUUUUAAUGUUUCUUCUAAAUGUGAAGAUGGAGGGUGUUCUGGGUGUUACGCUGCAUCUGUGUGUGUGCAAACUGAUGAGCAGCAUGCUGUUGUGUUCGUCUGUAAUCACACACACCAUCACUGCGGUCAGUCUGUGCUGCAGCUGCCUGCUGUUAUUUACAGACCUCGCUGUCACUGUGUUUUUGCUCUACAUCUGGUUCAUGGAGUCCUGGUUGACGCCUUUUUACGCGUCUUCGGAUGUCAUCGCCCUUCGAUUUCUGCUCUUCCUUUGCAAGGCCUAUGGAGUUGUGUUACUGCUGAUGCCGCCUUUGAUUGCUGUGGAGUUGUUGGUUGAUCUGCUGUGUCCUCAAAGUGGGCGAACGAAGGGUAGAGAUGCAAGCGAAUCCCUCUCUAGUACAGUUGGCUAUUUGGGAUGUUUUCUAGCAUGGAGCAUGAGCGGGAUCUACAGCAGCCACGACUGGAUGCUGGAGCAGAUCUCAGUGGAAACCUGUCAAGGAAAAGGUGGCCAUCUUCUCACGUGCCUUCCCAGCGCUGAUGAGUCUUCCUGGGUUCUUCCUUCUAUGGUGGUCCUGUUGAGUUUAACAGGGAGCCUGGGUCUGUUCAGGACGAAGGCAUCCAGAAGAUUGCCUGACUCAUCUAAAAACACACAGAUGGGCAAGAAAAAGGACUAUUUGGGCCCUGGGCUAAUGCAUAUGUCACAAACUCUGGUUGACUCAGAAAAAACACCCAACAGCUGUGGCGUACACAUGGCCGGGUUUGUGAACAGUGAGCCACGACAGAUCUGUCCUGGGAAUGGUGUACUGUGCGCUCAACAAACCGGUUUGGCAGACAGUAUCAAGAAACAAAAGCAAUCAUCCAGCUUUGCAACAUUUGCACAGUCCAAAACCGAUCUUUCUCUGGAAGUCACAUCAUUGGCUGUCUUUAACAGGACAGACGCAAAGUCUCAAAGCAGAUGCUAUUGGUUUCCCAAAAGGGAAAGUCCCUGCUCAGGGCGAGAAAUCUUCACAGGGUUGGUAUGCGUGGCUCUAGUUUGUGUUUUUCCCACAGUCAUCAGUGGUAAUAUUCUCCUAAUCUUUAAUCUGGAGAAUCUGGUGGUGUACAACUUAAAACUCUUAUCUCUAUCAGUUAACAGAGUACCGGAUCUGUAA